CCGCGCGGGGGCCUGGGGGCCUGGGCGGCCCGGUGGGCCGCCGGCUCGGCCGGCUCGAUGCGCGCCGUCGCCUGGCGCCUGCGCAGCCC
RNAcentral lists this transfer RNA (89 nucleotides) under Streptomyces sp. MP131-18. RNAcentral describes it as "tRNA-Thr". Lineage: Bacteria; Bacillati; Actinomycetota; Actinomycetes; Kitasatosporales; Streptomycetaceae. The record is from RNAcentral.